AUUGAACGCUGGCGGCAGGCCUAACACAUGCAAGUCGAACGGUAACAGGAAGAAGCUUGCUUCUUUGCUGACGAGUGGCGGACGGGUGAGUAAUGUCUGGGAAACUGCCUGGUGGAGGGGGAUAACUACUGGAAACGGUAGCUAAUGCCGCAUAACGUCGCAAGACCAAAGAGGGGGACCUUCGGGCCUCUUGCCAUCGGAUGUGCCCAGAUGGGAUUAGCUAGUAGGUGGGGUAACGGCUCACCUAGGCGACGAUCCCUAGCUGGUCUGAGAGGAUGACCAGCCACACUGGAACUGAGACACGGUCCAGACUCCUACGGGAGGCAGCAGUGGGGAAUAUUGCACAAUGGGCGCAAGCCUGAUGCAGCCAUGCCGCGUGUAUGAAGAAGGCCUUCGGGUUGUAAAGUACUUUCAGCGGGGAGGAAGGGAGUAAAGUUAAUACCUUUGCUCAUUGACGUUACCCGCAGAAGAAGCACCGGCUAACUCCGUG
Molecule: ribosomal RNA, 490 nt
Filed under: uncultured bacterium
Lineage: Bacteria
Description: partial 16S ribosomal RNA
Rfam family: Bacterial small subunit ribosomal RNA
Source: RNAcentral